AUACCAUCUUAGGGCUGCGGUAAACUUCAGAUUGCACCAGUCGAUCAUCUAGAACGUGUUAAACAGUGCAUGGGGCAAUGAAGAAUCUCAACUUGUUCGGUUGGAGUGCAGAACAGACCAGGAUAACAGCUCUGUAGACCGACUCAGAAUAGGAUGGAUUUUGUGACAUCAUUGCAACUCUGUGUCCUGUCUUGUAUAAUUGCCCCUGUUCAGUUUGCUGUUGCAAAAUCGACUUAGUGUUCGUGAUUAUAAUGUUUUAAAAC
RNAcentral lists this long non-coding RNA (263 nucleotides) under Olea europaea subsp. europaea. The record is from RNAcentral. Lineage: Eukaryota; Viridiplantae; Streptophyta; Magnoliopsida; Lamiales; Oleaceae.